RNAcentral lists this ribosomal RNA (253 nucleotides) under uncultured bacterium. Its description in RNAcentral is "partial 16S ribosomal RNA". It matches the Rfam family "Bacterial small subunit ribosomal RNA", at positions 524 to 776 of the family's 1533-position model. The record is from RNAcentral.
UACGAAGGGGGCUAGCGUUGCUCGGAAUCACUGGGCGUAAAGCGCACGUAGGCGGCUUUCUAAGUCAGGGGUGAAAUCCUGGAGCUCAACUCCAGAACUGCCUUCGAUACUGGCGACCUUGAGUCCGGGAGAGGUGAGUGGAACUCCGAGUGUAGAGGUGAAAUUCGUAGAUAUUCGGAAGAACACCAGUGGCGAAGGCGGCUCACUGGCCCGGUACUGACGCUGAGGUGCGAAAGCGUGGGGAGCAAACAGG